AAAGCAUAGAUGUUGUUCUGAU
This 22-nucleotide non-coding RNA is filed under the name Brugia malayi. Lineage: Eukaryota; Metazoa; Nematoda; Chromadorea; Rhabditida; Onchocercidae. The record is from RNAcentral.